AUGGAGGCAUGGAGGGGGUGGUCGGCUGUGUGCUUUGUGUUAGUACAAAACAGCCUACUCUUUUCUGCUUGCUGGCUUUCUGCUGACUACUUGACCAACUUGCUUGGUGAUAUACUGCUAUCAUACUAUAUUAAUUUCUUCGGCUUCGAGCUCGACUUCCGUGCGCUGCAGGUGGAGGAGUUUGCGGCGGCGGAGAAGGCGUCGGCCGGCGGGGUGAGGGUGAUGCUCAUGGACACGACGGAGGCGACGAUCCUGCGUGCUGACGCGCAUCCCAGCAAGUACCGGGCCUGGACGCCCGACCCGCUCAUGAAAAACCAGCUGUACAGCGACUGCGUGCACUGGUGCCUUCCGGGGGCCAUUGAUACAUGGAAUGACAUGCUGCUUCAUAUGCUACUCCACGAGUGA
This 405-nucleotide ribosomal RNA is filed under the name Triticum aestivum (bread wheat). Its description in RNAcentral is "partial small subunit ribosomal RNA". The record is from RNAcentral. Lineage: Eukaryota; Viridiplantae; Streptophyta; Magnoliopsida; Poales; Poaceae.